CCUACGGGAGGCAGCAGUGGGGAAUCUUGGACAAUGGGCGCAAGCCUGAUCCAGCCAUGCCGCGUGAGUGAAGAAGGCCUUAGGGUUGUAAGGCUCUUUUACCAGGGACGAUAAUGACGGUACCUGGAGAAUAAGCCCCGGCAAACUUCGUGCCAGCAGCCGCGGUAAU
This 169-nucleotide ribosomal RNA is filed under the name uncultured Alphaproteobacteria bacterium. Its description in RNAcentral is "partial 16S ribosomal RNA". It matches the Rfam family "Bacterial small subunit ribosomal RNA", at positions 338 to 524 of the family's 1533-position model. Lineage: Bacteria; Pseudomonadati; Pseudomonadota; Alphaproteobacteria. The record is from RNAcentral.